This is a non-coding RNA of Planctomycetes bacterium SM23_65, 72 nucleotides long. The record is from Rfam. Lineage: Bacteria; Pseudomonadati; Planctomycetota.
GGGGGUGUAGCUCAGUGGGAGAGCACCUGGUUUGCAACCAGGAAGUCACGGGUUCGAAUCCCGUCACCUCCA